UACGUAGGUGGCAAGCGUUGUCCGGAUUUAUUGGGUUUAAAGGGUGCGUAGGUGGUCUAUUAAGUCAGUGCUGAAAUAUCCCGGCUUAACCGGGAGGGUGGCAUUGAUACUGAUGGACUUGAGUAAAGUUGAGGUAGGCGGAAUUGACGGUGUAGCGGUGAAAUGCUUAGAUAUCGUCAAGAACACCGAUAGCGAAGGCAGCUUACUAAGCUUUAACUGACGCUGAGGCACGAAAGUGUGGGGAUCAAACAGG
Molecule: ribosomal RNA, 253 nt
Filed under: uncultured bacterium
Lineage: Bacteria
Description: partial 16S ribosomal RNA
Rfam family: Bacterial small subunit ribosomal RNA
Source: RNAcentral